GCCGCCACAGGCGGAGCCGCGCACGCGUGUCACAGCGGGACUCAUGUUUAUCUUUCUGUUCAAGAGGAAUCAAAGAUCACAGACCUUGAAGAUCCACCCUGACCAUGCUGAGAUUUGGGCAGCACCUGAUCAAGCCCUCGGUGGUGUUCCUGAGGACAGAGCUGUGCUUUGCUCUGGUGAACCGCAGGCCGGUGGUGCCAGGCCGUAUCCUUUCCAUGGUGCUGCUCCCUAGGAAAGGCAGCACACUAUCAGGACACUUGGAAAGCCAGUUCCAACUUUCAGCCGGAAAAACACUCAUGGCUACUGUUCCUCUUGUGGAGUCGUGAACUGAUUUGUG
RNAcentral lists this long non-coding RNA (337 nucleotides) under Serinus canaria (Common canary). RNAcentral describes it as "lncRNA (ENSSCAG00000006215.1)". Lineage: Eukaryota; Metazoa; Chordata; Aves; Passeriformes; Fringillidae. The record is from RNAcentral.